UUUCCUGUGGCUCAACUGGUAGAGCAUUGCGCUAUAACAACGCAAAGGUUGUGGGUUUAAAUCCCAAGGAAAA
This is a non-coding RNA of Danionella cerebrum, 73 nucleotides long. NCBI's taxonomy places the organism in Eukaryota, Metazoa, Chordata, Actinopteri, Cypriniformes, Danionidae. The record is from the annotation of a GenBank genome assembly.